RNAcentral lists this ribosomal RNA (440 nucleotides) under uncultured bacterium. RNAcentral describes it as "partial 16S ribosomal RNA". It matches the Rfam family "Bacterial small subunit ribosomal RNA", at positions 338 to 795 of the family's 1533-position model. The record is from RNAcentral.
CCUACGGGAGGCAGCAGUGGGGAAUAUUGCACAAUGGGGGAAACCCUGAUGCAGCGACGCCGCGUGAGUGAAGAAGUAAUUCGUUAUGUAAAGCUCUAUCAGCAGGGAAGAAAAUGACGGUAACUGAGUAAGAAACCCCGGCUAACUACGUGCCAGCAGCCGCGGGAAUACGUAGGGGGCAAGCGUUAUCCGGAUUUACUGGGUGUAAAGGGAGCGGAGACGGGAGUGCAAGUCUCGAGUGAAAGGCGCGGGCUCAACCCACGGACUGCUCUGGAAACUGUACGGCUGGAGUGCAGGAGAGGUAAGUGGAAUUCCUAGUGUAGCGGUGAAAUGCGUAGAUAUUAGGAGGAACACCAGUGGCGAAGGCGGCUUACUGGACUGUAACUGACGUUGAGGCUCGAAAGCGUGGGGAGCAAACAGGAUUAGAUACCCUUGUAGUC